UACGAAGGGGGCUAGCGUUGCUCGGAAUCACUGGGCGUAAAGCGCACGUAGGCGGCUUUUUAAGUCAGGGGUGAAAUCCUGGAGCUCAACUCCAGAACUGCCUUUGAUACUGAGGAUCUUGAGUUCGGGAGAGGUGAGUGGAACUGCGAGUGUAGAGGUGAAAUUCGUAGAUAUUCGCAAGAACACCAGUGGCGAAGGCGGCUCACUGGCCCGAUACUGACGCUGAGGCACGAAAGCUAGGGGAGCAAAUGGG
This 253-nucleotide ribosomal RNA is filed under the name uncultured bacterium. Its description in RNAcentral is "partial 16S ribosomal RNA". It matches the Rfam family "Bacterial small subunit ribosomal RNA", at positions 524 to 776 of the family's 1533-position model. The record is from RNAcentral.